RNAcentral lists this ribosomal RNA (497 nucleotides) under uncultured bacterium. RNAcentral's name for it is "partial 16S ribosomal RNA". It matches the Rfam family "Bacterial small subunit ribosomal RNA", at positions 28 to 507 of the family's 1533-position model. The record is from RNAcentral.
GAUGAACGCUGGCGGCGUGCCUAAUACAUGCAAGUCGAGCGAACAGACGAGGAGCUUGCUCCUCUGACGUUAGCGGCGGACGGGUGAGUAACACGUGGAUAACCUACCUAUAAGAAUGGGAUAACUUCGGGAAACCGGAGCUAAUACCGGAUAAUAUAUUGAACCGCAUGGUUCAAUAGUGAAAGACGGUUUUGCUGUCACUUAUAGAUGGAUCCGCGCCGCAUUAGCUAGUUGGUAAGGUAACGGCUUACCAAGGCAACGAUGCGUAGCCGACCUGAGAGGGUGAUUCGCCACACUGGAACUGAGACUCGGUCCAGACACCGACAGGAGGCCACAGCUGGGAAUCUUCCGCGAUGGUCCAAAGCCUGGCGGUGGAAAGCCGCGUGAGUGAUGAAGGUCUUAUGAUCGUAAAACUCUGUUAUUAGGGAAGAACAAAUGUGUAAGUAACUAUGCACGUCUUGACGGUACCUAAUCAGAAAGCCACGGCUAACUACGUG